CAUUCUGUGUAGACUUUUGUCAGUGUUAAUAUGCCAGACAGUCUUUUCAUAGACGAUAUAUUAACUGAAUAUAUUCCUAUGCAAGAUACGUAAUCUUAAAGAUAUAAUAGAGCUGAAGAGAAUAGCAGACUUAGAAAACAAACUUAAACAGGAUAAUGAAUGCAGUUUGGAAAUGACAAAUGUAAAACCAUUUACUUUGAGACCAAUAUAUUACUGGUUACUCAUGUUUUCCUCAUCAAAGAAAAAUCAUUCUAUACAAAAUCUGAAAUGUCCUACUUUUGCUAUUUAUAAUUACCAUUCUCUCCAUGGAUUUAUCAACUUUUUCACUCACUACUGCCAGUUAUCCUUUAUAACCCAAGUUUUUUUUUUUUUUACAUAGACUGUAUCCCGUCUAGUAUCGAUUAAAUGAUAAAUAAAAAAAAUAGGAUCUUUUCAA
Molecule: long non-coding RNA, 436 nt
Organism: Octopus bimaculoides (California two-spot octopus)
Lineage: Eukaryota; Metazoa; Mollusca; Cephalopoda; Octopoda; Octopodidae
Source: RefSeq, a predicted model, not a curated record